Molecule: non-coding RNA, 953 nt
Filed under: Curimata mivartii
Lineage: Eukaryota; Metazoa; Chordata; Actinopteri; Characiformes; Curimatidae
Description: 12S ribosomal RNA
Rfam family: Bacterial small subunit ribosomal RNA
Source: RNAcentral
CAAAGGCCUGGUCCUGACUUUACUAUCAGCUUUAGUCCAAUUUAUACAUGCAAGUAUCCGCAUCCCUGUGAGAAUGCCCUCAUAUCCCCGCCCGGGAACGAGGAGCCGGCAUCAGGCACUCAUUACUAGCCCAAGACGCCUUGCUACGCCACACCCCCAAGGGAAUUCAGCAGUAAUAAACAUUAAGCCAUAAGUGAAAACUUGACUUAGUUAGGACUAAGAGGGUCGGUAAAACUCGUGCCAGCCACCGCGGUUAUACGAGAGACCCUAGUUGAUAUAUACGGCGUAAAGAGUGGUUUGGGAUAUAAUACUAAUAAAGCCGAAGACCUUCCAAGCCGUCACACGCAUCCCGAAGGCACGAAGCCCUAAUACGAAAGUAGCUUUAAAAACACCCCCGACGCCACGAAAGCUAAGAAACAAACUGGGAUUAGAUACCCCACUAUGCUUAGCCUUAAACUCAGAUGUUUGAAGUACAAACAACAUCCGCCAGGGUACUACAAGCGCUAGCUUAAAACCCAAAGGACUUGACGGUGUCUCAGACCCACCUAGAGGAGCCUGUUCUAGAACCGAUAAUCCCCGUUAAACCUCACCACCCCUUGCUUAUCCCCGCCUAUAUACCGCCGUCGUAAGCUUACCCUGUGAAGGACCCAUAGUAAGCAAAAUGGGCAAACCCCCAAAACGUCAGGUCGAGGUGUAGCUCACGAGGUGGAAAGAAAUGGGCUACAUUUUCUGUAACAGAAUAUCACGGACGACACCAUGAAACCAGUGUCUGAAGGUGGAUUUAGUAGUAAAAGACAAACAGAGCGUGUUUUUGAACCAGGCUCUGAGACGCGCACACACCGCCCGUCACUCUCCCCAUCACCCAAUUAAUACAAGUAAUUAACUAACUACAUCAUAAAGCGGGGAGGCAAGUCGUAACAUGGUAAGUGUACCGGAAGGUGCACUUGGAACAU